Molecule: ribosomal RNA, 471 nt
Filed under: uncultured organism
Description: partial 16S ribosomal RNA
Rfam family: Bacterial small subunit ribosomal RNA
Source: RNAcentral
ACUCCUGCGGGAGGCAGCAGUGGGGAAUUUUGGACAAUGGGCGAAAGCCUGAUCCAGCAAUGCCGCGUGAGUGAAGAAGGCCUUCGGGUUGUAAAGCUCUUUUGUCAGGGAAGAAACGGUGAAAGCUAAUAUCUUUUGCUAAUGACGGUACCUGAAGAAUAAGCACCGACUAACUACGUGCCAGCAGCCGCGGUAAUACGUAGGGUGCAAGCGUUAAUCGGAAUUACUGGGCGUAAAGCGUGCGCAGGCGGUUUUGUAAGUCUGAUGUGAAAUCCCCGGGCUCAACCUGGGAAUUGCAUUGGAGACUGCAAGGCUAGAAUCUGGCAGAGGGGGGUAGAAUUCCACGUGUAGCAGUGAAAUGCGUAGAUAUGUGGAGGAACACCGAUGGCGAAGGCAGCCCCCUGGGUCAAGAUUGACGCUCAUGCACGAAAGCGUGGGGAGCAAACAGGAUUAGAAACCCCUGUAGUCCCA